UACGUAGGGACCGAGCGUUGUCCGGAAUCAUUGGGCGUAAAGAGCGUGUAGGCGGCCACUUAAGUCCUGCGUGAAAUCUUGCGGCUCAACCGCAAGCAGUCGUGGGAAACUGGGUGGCUAGAGUGCGGGAGAGGAGAGUGGAAUUCCUGGUGUAGCGGUGGAAUGCGCAGAUAUCAGGAAGAACACCCGUGGCGAAGGCGGCUCUCUGGAACGCAACUGACGCUGAGACGCGAAAGCGUGGGGAGCAAACAGG
RNAcentral lists this ribosomal RNA (253 nucleotides) under uncultured bacterium. Its description in RNAcentral is "partial 16S ribosomal RNA". It matches the Rfam family "Bacterial small subunit ribosomal RNA", at positions 524 to 776 of the family's 1533-position model. The record is from RNAcentral.